GAUUGGACUACCAUGGCAGUAACGGGUAACGAAGAAUUAGGGUUCGAUUUCGGAGAGGGAGCAUGAGAAACGGCUACCACAUCUAAGGAAGGCAGCAGGCGCGUAAUUACCCAAUCCUGACUCAGGGAGGUAGUGACAAGAAAUAGCAAACCGGGAACCUCAUGGUUUCACGGUAUUGCAAUGAGAACAAUUUAAAACCCUUAGCGAGAAUCAAGUGGAGGACAAGUCUGGUGCCAGCACCCGCGGUAAUUCCAGCUCCACUAGCGUAUAUUAAAGUUGUUGCAGUUAAAAAGCUCGUAGUUGAACCUCUGUCUGGGGCUAGUUUUGGCUUUGGUCAGGCUAGUUCUAGGCAUCCGCCUACAAGACUUAGAGGGCAUUCAGUUGUUCACUAGGAGGAGUAGGCAUUUUACUUUGAAAAAAUUAGAGUGUUUAAGGCAGGCAAUCGCCCGCAUAUAUUAGCAUGGAAUAAUAGAAUAGGACACUUUUCCAUUUCGUUGGUUAUUGGAAUCGUGUAAUGAUUAAUAGGGACAGUUGUGGGCAUUUGUAUUUAAUUGUCAGAGGUGAAAUUCUUGGAUUUAUUAAAGACAAACUAACGCGAAAGCAUUUGCCAAGGAUGUUUUCAUUAAUCAAGAACGAAAGUUAGGGGAUCAAAGACGAUCAGAUACCGUCCUAGUCUUAACUAUAAACUAUUCCGACUCAAUGUUUGACUGGCUUAUAUAACCAGUUGAGCGUUGUAUGAGAAAUCAAAGUCUUUAGGUUCUGGGGGGAGUGUGGUUGCAAAGCUGAAACUUAAAGGAAUUGACGGAAGAGCACAACCAGGAGUGGAUUCUGCGGCUUAAUUUGACUCAACACGGGGAAACUUACCAGGUUAAAACAAUAGUGGGAUUGACAGUUUGAGAGCGCUUUCUUGAUUGGUUGGGUGGUGGUGCAUGGCCGUUCUUAGUUGGUGGAGUGAUUUGUCUGCUUAAUUGCGUUAACGAACGAGACCUUAACCUGCUUACUAGACUGGCGAUCAUCAAUCGUUAGCUCUUCUUAGAGGGACUUUGGUUGUUUUAACUCCAAGGAAGUUUGAGGCAAUAACAGGUCUGUGAUGCCCUUAGAUAUCCUGGGCCGCACGCGUCAUACAAUGACUAGUUCAGAAAGUUUUCUCCUGACCCGAAAGGGGAUGGGUAAUCUUGAUAAUACUAGUCGUGUUAGGGAUCGAUCUUUGCAAUUAUAGAUCUUGAACGAGGAAUUCCUAGUAAGUGCGGUUCAUCAGACCGUACUGAUUACGUCCCUGCUCUUUGUACACACCGCCCGUCGCUUCUACCGAGUGGGUGGUCCGGUGAGAUAAUUGAACUUCGCAGGUAACUGAGAGGAAAGAUUAUCAAACCUAUCCACCUCGAGGAAGAAGAAGUCGUAACAAGGUU
This 1409-nucleotide ribosomal RNA is filed under the name metagenome. RNAcentral describes it as "SSU rRNA". It matches the Rfam family "Eukaryotic small subunit ribosomal RNA", at positions 334 to 1801 of the family's 1831-position model. The record is from RNAcentral.